This 492-nucleotide ribosomal RNA is filed under the name uncultured bacterium. RNAcentral's name for it is "partial 16S ribosomal RNA". It matches the Rfam family "Bacterial small subunit ribosomal RNA", at positions 29 to 507 of the family's 1533-position model. The record is from RNAcentral.
AGUGAACGCUGGCGGCAUGCCUAACACAUGCAAGUCGAACGGCAACACAGUAAGAGCUCGCUCUUACGGGUGGCGGGUGACGGACGGGUAAGAAAUAGAUCGGCAUCCACUUUUACGGGGGUGAUAACGUGGGACAACAUAUGCUAACACCGCAUAUGUCCAACCGGUUGAUGCAGGGGUUAUACGGGCUUUGCCUGAUUCAAUGAGCCGAAGUCGGAUUAGCUAGUUGGCUGGGUAAAGGCCCACCAAGGCGACGCUGCGUAGCUGGUCUGAGAGGAUGAUCAGCCACACUGGAACUGAGACACGGUCCAGACUCCUACGGGAGGCAGCAGUGGGGAAUCUUGCACAAUGGGCGAAAGCCUGACGCAGCAAUACCGCGUGAGUGAAGAAGGUCUUCGGGUUGUAAAGCUCUUUUGUUAGGAAAGAACAACAGCAUGUUAAUCCCCCGCUGUCUUGACGGUACCCAAAGAAUAAGCACCGGCUAACUUCGUG